AACCGGUCGAAUUACAUACCCUGAUAAGAGACGCCUAGAUAUAGCAUCAUCAAUAUCAUCAAACAAUGCCCAUCGAUCGAUGCUUCAAUCGGACUCUAUCAAAACGUUAGUAUAAUAAGUUCUACCAUUAAACUGCUGCAUAGCUCGGAACCAUCUCCUGAAGGCACCGAGGAAAUGGAGACUAAUCAUGGUGAUGUAAACACGAAAGCUAUGUCCCUCAUAGCACUUCUGCAGUGAUCACGCCAAAGCUACAAUCCGAGAGGAUGUCACUCAUUGAUUGGGCUAUCUGGUUAUUAUUGAUGAGAAUUUUUUUGCUAAAUGCUACUUGAGGUUCUUCUGGUUCUGUUGAAGAUGACCAAGAAUGUGCACUGCAUAUUGCCAUGGUUUAAAUUAUUCAAUCGUGUGGAGAGUGACAAGCGGAUCAGGAUUCGAUAGGAAAUAUUAACGAUUAAAUGCUUAUCUAAAACGCUUGUGCCAUCUGGUUGUUGGCGAUAAUUAUUGAUUUGCUCUCGAAGGAUAAUGGAACUUUUGCAUCACGUGGUUUGGGAAUAGUGCGCUCAAUUUCCAUGAAUAACAAUAAGGAAAAACUGUCCAAUUAGUUGUUGGUCAACUAGUUGGUGGUAGACAUGUGCAGAAAGAAGAAACUAAGCUUGUCGAGAAAGGCAUACUGAGGACGGCACCGAGCGAGUAAGUAAACCUGAGCAAGUUGGAUUUUCGUUUCGUGUUCUGCUCGUCAGCAUGCGGCAGCUGUCGUGACCAUCAUGAAGUUAAGUUGAAUAAUACAGACAUCCAUUCAUAACUUACGAAUUUUAGAAUUCAAA
Long non-coding RNA from Topomyia yanbarensis, 821 nucleotides. RefSeq lists it as uncharacterized. Lineage: Eukaryota; Metazoa; Arthropoda; Insecta; Diptera; Culicidae. The record is from RefSeq and is a predicted model, not a curated record. The transcript is spliced from 3 exons.